GACGAACGCUGGCGGCGUGCUUAACACAUGCGAGUCGAACGGAAAGGCCCUGCUUUUGUGGGGUGCUCGAGUGGCGAACGGGUGAGUAACACGUGAGUAACCUGCCCUUGACUUUGGGAUAACUUCAGGAAACUGGGGCUAAUACCGGAUAGGAGCUCCUGCUGCAUGGUGGGGGGUGGAAAGUUUCGGCGGUUGGGGAUGGACUCGCGGCUUAUCAGCUUGUUGGUGGGGUUGUGGCUUACCAAGGCUUUGACGGGUAGCCGGCCUGAGAGGGUGACCGGACACAUUGGGACUGAGAUACGGCCCAGACUCCUACGGGAGGCAGCAGUGGGAAAUAUUGCACAAUGGGCGGAAGCCUGAUGCAGCAACGCCGCGUGCGGGAUGACGGCCUUCGGGUUGUAAACCGCUUUCGCCUGUGACGAAGCGUGAGUGACGGUAAUGGGUAAAGAAGCACCGGCUAACUACGUG
Molecule: ribosomal RNA, 468 nt
Filed under: uncultured bacterium
Lineage: Bacteria
Description: partial 16S ribosomal RNA
Rfam family: Bacterial small subunit ribosomal RNA
Source: RNAcentral